CUGGGCGUAAGGGUGUGUAGGCGGAUAUUUAAGUAGAAAGUGAAAGGUUGGAGCUCAACUCCAACAUUGCUUCCUAUACUGGAUGUCUUGAGUUUCGGAGAGGAAGAUGGAACGACACGUGUAGCGGUGAAAUGCGUUGAUAUGUGUCGGAACACCAAUAGCGAAGGCAAUCUUCUGGACGAAUACUGACGCUGAGACACGAAAGCAUGGGUAGCGAACAGGAUUAGAUACCCUGGUAGUCCAUGCCCUAAACGAUGUUCACUAGGUGUCGGGGAUUUUUCUUCGGUGCCGCAGCUAACGCAUUAAGUGAACCGCCUGGGGACUACGGCCGCAAGGUUGAAACUCAAAGGAAUUGGCGGGGGCCCGCACAAGCGGUGGAGCAUGUGGCUUAAUUCGAUGCAACGCGAAGAACCUUACCAGGGUUUGACAUGUAACUGCAAGCUCCCGAAAUGGAGUCGCUUUCGAAGGUGUUACACAGGUGGUGCAUGGCUGUCGUCAGCUCGUGUUGUGAAAUGUUGGGUUAAGUCCCGCAACGAGCGCAACCCUCAUGUUCUGUUGCCAGCGAGUAAUGUCGGGAACUCGGAACAAACUGCCUCUGUAAAGAGGAGGAAGGUGGGGAUGACGUCAAG
This 629-nucleotide ribosomal RNA is filed under the name uncultured bacterium. RNAcentral's name for it is "bacterial SSU rRNA". It matches the Rfam family "Bacterial small subunit ribosomal RNA", at positions 554 to 1189 of the family's 1533-position model. The record is from RNAcentral.